Molecule: long non-coding RNA, 1167 nt
Organism: Tigriopus californicus
Lineage: Eukaryota; Metazoa; Arthropoda; Copepoda; Harpacticoida; Harpacticidae
Exons: 4
Source: RefSeq, a predicted model, not a curated record
CCGAUUCAGUUGCAGUAAAAGCCACAACAAACUCGAUUUUUACUCUUUUAUGUUACUUCUUUUAUGGUUCCACUUUGACAACACGUCCAGUGGUUCCGAGGUCUAUGGUUCGAAUUACAAUCUCCAUGGAUAUAGUUUUGAUAUCUGGCAAACACUAUUGAAAGCCUUAGCAACGAGAUGAAUUAGAAACACAAGUUCGGAGACAAUUGUUACGACAAGAAUGGCCGUCAUUUUCACAAUCGUGGGCAUCAUCACUUUCAGCCUUUUUGUUGUUGGCUUGUGUGAUCAAGUUUGUUUCGAUACUUAUUGUUAUACUCUAACAUCUUCAACCAUAAAUCGAACUACACUAGCGGAAUGUGCUUGUAGCUUCCAACUUCCUUCUGCCGUUAAAGACCUCACUCAUGUGACUGAAAUCGAUCAGGAGAAUUGUACCAGCGUGUUUAGUAACCCCGAGGGGUCCCGGAACGUUGUCGUGAACCCCAAGGGCAAGUAUUGCUCAACUCACAUGUCCAUCCUACCAAACCGACCCUGCUGUCGUGUAUGAUGAUGCCCUUUCAAGCAGUUACUCCUCACUCCGGGCUUUGAAAGAGGAAUGCAAUUUACCUAAUGAUAAUUGGUUAACAUCCAAGAGAAUUAGCACAUUCAUCUGGGAUUUUGGCGCUCUCCGAACGAUGACAAGGGUGGAAUUUCGAAAUUACCAUUAUUCUUCAAGACAUGUCAUUGACUUCGAAGUAUCAGUAUCACGAUAUUCUGGAAUAAGCGUAACUUGGACCAAUGUUCUUCGGGUUGAGAAUCUGGAAAAGCCAGCCACUAAUUGUGAACCAAUUCGACACUACAGCUUUAAACCCAUCAUUGGAAGACAAAUUAGAUUUACAGCGUCGAGGGCCUUUUCAUUCGGAGCCGCAAUGAAUUUCUUCAGAGUAUACUAAGUAACCAGGACCCUGAAGUCAUUUGGCGUGAUUCCCCGAGUCAGUCAAUCCACUAGCUAGAUAGUACUGAUGGAAAAUCCCAAUCGAACAACCACACAAGCCUAUCUAAUCUUAGAUUGGCCCAAUGUUGGUACUGACAAUCGCAAGGCGGACAACAAACUGACCAAUCUAAGGAGUAAACAUCGGAAAUUACGACAAGAGUUUAGACACUUGUUAUAAUAAACUGUUCACAACGCUC